Backusella circina FSU 941 is the source of this 72-nucleotide non-coding RNA. Lineage: Eukaryota; Fungi; Mucoromycota; Mucoromycetes; Mucorales; Backusellaceae. The record is from the annotation of a GenBank genome assembly.
GCUCUCGUAGUAUAGUGGUUUAAUGCGGGGACUGUACGCAGAGGGUCGAGAGUUCGAUCCUCGUCGAGAGCU